Molecule: long non-coding RNA, 996 nt
Organism: Felis catus (domestic cat)
Lineage: Eukaryota; Metazoa; Chordata; Mammalia; Carnivora; Felidae
Exons: 2
Source: RefSeq, a predicted model, not a curated record
UGAACUCCAAUCCGCCCACGGCUACAACAUAAUUGCCUCACAGCUCAAACGCCGACACUUAAAAACUAACGGAGCUAGUGUAAAAGCUUUUUACGGCGAGAAAGCAUUUUUAAAAGCGUUUUCUCACCUCCUGAACUCCUCGUAGGGGUUUUAUUACAGGGCACCGAGACCCUUAACCGAAAGUCUUCAGCAAGGGCUUUGAGGCACGUACCAAUUUUAGAGACGAGCGCUGAGUAAAAUAAGGAAGCCCCGCGCAAACACGGCGUGCGCGGGAUGAGCCCCGCGCCGCCGGCCGCCGCUCCCAGUAUCCCGACCUCUCCAGAGGCGCCUGUCCGACUUAGGCCCCGACCCCCGACCCACGCGCGCGCCCACCUCGCCCUCAGGAAUCCGAAAAGCGGCAGGGCCUGGCCUGACGACGGGCGGGUAGGCCGGCCGGCUGGCUGGAGAGAAAGCAGCGGGGCCGGACGCAGCGCAGGAGCCCCCACCUUUAAGGCCUAAAGCAGACUCAUAGGAUAUGGAUGUAUUCUCUGCUGGUAGUCUUUUCUUCAUGAAGCCCCGGCUGUGACAGCUGACAUCAAAUAAAUGGACCCAAGAGUAGAGAUUCCUCCUCCUUGGCAAUCACAACCUCUUCUAGCAAUGCCAUGUAACUGAGCCAAGACUCUUCUCUAAACCUUUUUGUUACUUACACAUGCGUCCCAUUUAUCAAAGAAAAAAUUGUCACUUUAUACUUGAGGAAAAUUUUCAUAAAAAUUUAAUGUUUCAUGAGUUUAUAUGAAAAUACUGUAUUAUCAGUGAAACACUUUAUGUGCUUAUCUGUAAUGAAUGUUUAAUAAAGUGUUAAACUAUUUGGGGUUGAUUUUGUAUGCUGCCUUUUCUCCUAAAGUUUGACGAUUUCUUCCUAACUCCCUUCAUUUGUAAAAUUGGUAAACUAAAUUUAAAGCUCUGAUCAAUAGUUAAACUUACUUUGUGAAAAAGACUUGCACUAAAAAAAGCACA